Molecule: ribosomal RNA, 744 nt
Filed under: uncultured bacterium
Lineage: Bacteria
Description: bacterial SSU rRNA
Rfam family: Bacterial small subunit ribosomal RNA
Source: RNAcentral
ACGCUGGCGGCAGGCCUAACACAUGCAAGUCGAGCGGUAGAGAGAAGCUUGCUUCUCUUGAGAGCGGCGGACGGGUGAGUAAUGCCUAGGAAUCUGCCUGGUAGUGGGGGAUAACGUUCGGAAACGGACGCUAAUACCGCAUACGUCCUACGGGAGAAAGCAGGGGACCUUCGGGCCUUGCGCUAUCAGAUGAGCCUAGGUCGGAUUAGCUAGUUGGUGGGGUAAUGGCUCACCAAGGCGACGAUCCGUAACUGGUCUGAGAGGAUGAUCAGUCACACUGGAACUGAGACACGGUCCAGACUCCUACGGGAGGCAGCAGUGGGGAAUAUUGGACAAUGGGCGAAAGCCUGAUCCAGCCAUGCCGCGUGUGUGAAGAAGGUCUUCGGAUUGUAAAGCACUUUAAGUUGGGAGGAAGGGUUGUAGAUUAAUACUCUGCAAUUUUGACGUUACCGACAGAAUAAGCACCGGCUAACUCUGUGCCAGCAGCCGCGGUAAUACAGAGGGUGCAAGCGUUAAUCGGAAUUACUGGGCGUAAAGCGCGCGUAGGUGGUUAGUUAAGUUGGAUGUGAAAUCCCCGGGCUCAACCUGGGAACUGCAUUCAAAACUGACUGACUAGAGUAUGGUAGAGGGUGGUGGAAUUUCCUGUGUAGCGGUGAAAUGCGUAGAUAUAGGAAGGAACACCAGUGGCGAAGGCGACCACCGGACUGAUACUGACACUGAGGUGCGAAAGCGUGGGGAGCAAAC